UGGGCCAUAUAACCAUCAUAUAAAAAUCACACAGCCAAACCCAAAACCUAAUUUUUCCGCACCUCCCUCCAGCCGCCGCCGCUCCUCUUACUCCCUGGCGAGCAAGGGGGAGCGCUCCCCCUUCCCUUCUCUUCCUCCCCAGGCGGCGUAAUGCCGCCGGCGCAGCACCCCACCUUCCUCUGUGCCUCCUCCCCGGCCGCUCCCUUCCCUUCCUCUCCGUCUCCCAUCCCUUCCCCUUCCUCUCCUCCUCCUCCCGGCCCACGGCGGCCGGAGCUGCCCCUCCCCAGUCCUCUCCCUUCCCGCCGUCCUAAGCUCGGUGUCCACCAGAUCCGGCCGCCACGAGCUCGGGGGCCACCGGAUCCGCCGUCCUGAGCUCGGGGGCGACCAGAUCCGGCAGCCACGAGCUCCUAGGUGGCCAUAUCCGCCCCUCAACACCGUUGCAAUCUACCACCUCCGUGUUCCUGCCGUACUCCGUCUCUGCGCUCCAAAGAUUGCCGGAGUAAAAUAUAUGAACACAAGAGAAUUUUUUCAUCGUGAGACAAAAGGACCAACUAAUUUUCCUCUCUCGAGCCAUUUUGUGAAGACCUGAUGCAGUGGCAACACAGCUUAAAAAAUAGAGAAGUAUCAUAGUGAUUGAAAGGUACAGAUCGAUCAGAAUGUUUGUACAAUGUUUGCUGGAUGAUUUUAUCUUGAAAGAUAAAAUAUGAAUAUUUGUAAAUGUAUGUGUAAUGUGUACCAUUAAAUUGUAACAUGGACUAGAAAAUAGUUGGGAGACUUGGACUUGCUAUUUUCUUGCUAUAGGGUUGUAAACAGUAUUGACACAGUUGAAACUUGAUGUAUAUCUCAUUGAAGUUGAUGUCUCUGUGCACAAAUUGUACUGUGGAUGUUUGAUUGCUAUAGCAAAUUGGUGUAAAUAAAGA
Molecule: long non-coding RNA, 920 nt
Organism: Oryza sativa Japonica Group (Japanese rice)
Lineage: Eukaryota; Viridiplantae; Streptophyta; Magnoliopsida; Poales; Poaceae
Source: RefSeq, a predicted model, not a curated record